GACAACGUGUCCGAGUGGUUAAGGAGAUAGACUUGAAUUCAUCAAACGAAUUAGAUAUCUAUUGGCUUCGGCCUCGCAGGUUCGAAUCCUGUCGUUGUCG
Molecule: transfer RNA, 100 nt
Filed under: Fusarium torulosum
Lineage: Eukaryota; Fungi; Ascomycota; Sordariomycetes; Hypocreales; Nectriaceae
Description: transfer RNA-Ser(TGA)
Rfam family: tRNA
About the family: Transfer RNA (tRNA) molecules are approximately 80 nucleotides in length. Their secondary structure includes four short double-helical elements and three loops (D, anti-codon, and T loops). Further hydrogen bonds mediate the characteristic L-shaped molecular structure. tRNAs have two regions of fundamental functional importance: the anti-codon, which is responsible for specific mRNA codon recognition, and the 3' end, to which the tRNAs corresponding amino acid is attached (by aminoacyl-tRNA synthetases). tRNAs cope with the degeneracy of the genetic code in two manners: having more than one tRNA (with a specific anti-codon) for a particular amino acid; and 'wobble' base-pairing, i.e. permitting non-standard base-pairing at the 3rd anti-codon position.
Source: RNAcentral